This 4773-nucleotide long non-coding RNA is filed under the name Solanum tuberosum (potato). RNAcentral describes it as "long non-coding RNA (STUB_LNC004999)". Lineage: Eukaryota; Viridiplantae; Streptophyta; Magnoliopsida; Solanales; Solanaceae. The record is from RNAcentral.
UCCUUGUUUCCUCGAUUCUUACUCAAAAUCCUAUCUUUCGUCUUCUGCUCCUUACCAGGUACAAUCUUCACAUCAACUCUGUGCUUCCUAUCAUCUAAAUCCCUAUCCUCGUUUCCUUGCUUCUUACUUAAAAUCCCAUCUUCCAUCCUACUCUUUCUGGCAUUGAGCUUUUGAACUCCUCAAUUCGUAUUUUGCCCUAACAAUGUCCUGACCAUUUUCAACUCCAUGAAUCUCCAACUCCCUAUCCUUGUUUCCUCGCUUCUUGCUCAAAAUCCCAUCUUUUAUCUUCUGCUUCUCAACAAUGGAGACACUCCUAUUCUCCCUCGCAUUAGCCUUCAGACCUUUUGAACUCUCCCCCAAUUUGUGUUUCUCCCUAACAUUAUCCUGAUCCUUUUCAGCUCCAUGAAUCUCCAACUCCCUAUCUUGCUCAUACUUGAUGAACAGAGGCAACCAUUAUGAUCAUUAACUUUAUAAACAUAUGAUGUUCCAUCUAAUGUAGUCUUAGUCAAGAAAUUCAUAUAAAGCGGGUCAGCUUCAAGAUCAGUAUAAGUACAACUAGGGUUAUGCCUAUAACCACCAUAGGCAAAUCUACCCUGCUCUAUAAAUAACAACAAGGUUUUAAAAUCUUCAUCCACAUGAACACAUCCUUCCAAUGCGCUACCAAACUCAUGAUACCUAUCCCUAUCUUGACAAGGACACAAUUCCUACUUACCAACUUUCUUCAUAUAAUCAAAAACUCAAAUUUCCACUAAACAACUAACUGAAACUAUUACUCGAGGUUUCCUAUGAUGUUUUUAGUUUGGGCACACCUCUUGAGGAAAUAACUCUCUCUUAGGAAUUAAGAAGUAAAAAUAUCUGAACCAAACGACCUAAUGUAAAUGUUACCUAAAUCUGAAAAUUCUGCAAUCGUAAGAAUCUGGAAGCAAACAGUUGCCAGAAUCUGUAAAUCCUAGACGGAAUGAAGUUGUAAUCACCACACAACACACCGAAAAAAGGUUGGAAUCACAUGGCACCAGAGUCAAUCUACUCAGAAUUGAGGGGUGACCCUGUUGGAAAAAGAAUCUCUUCGGCAAACUGAUCGAAAGAUGGCUCACACGCUGGCGCAUGAGACAAUAGCAGCUAUAAUCUAACGGCUUUGAAUGGCACAUGAGAGCAUGGGCUGGCCGUUGGUAGCGUAGCUGAUUGGGUUUUGCUCACGGUGGUGGUACAAGUCUCGUGGUGGUGUUCGUUUGAUCACAACACUUCCGAAAUUAAAGAUCUGUUUGGACAUCCAAGAAAAAUAGCUUGGGGGGGGGGGGGGGGGGGGGGGCGGGGUUGGAAUUAAGUGCAACCAGUGUCGAUCUACUCAAAAUUGAGGGGUGACCCUGCUGGAAAAAGAAUCUCACCGGCAAACUGAUCAAAAGAUUGCUCACGCGCUGGUGAGUGAGACAACAAUAGCUAGAAUCUGAAGGCCCUGAACGACACGUGGGAGCGCAUGGACUGGCCGCUGGUGGCGGAGCUGAUUGGAUUUUGCUCACGGUGGUGGUCUGAGUCUCGUGGCGGUGUUGGUUUCAUCACAACACCAUCGAAAUUAGAGAUAUGUUCGGACAACCACGAAAAAUAGUUGGGGAAAACCUGUCCAGAAUUUCUCUUCCAAUGUCGGAGGCCUUAACCAAGAUCCGACACCAUGUGAAACGGAAGAGAAAAUAAGAGAGAAAUAGGCUUUGUUAUUCCCUCAAGCUAUUUGGGUUUAUAUAGCUAAGUUUUAAUGUCUUAAAAAAGGGAGAAAAUCAAUACCUAAAUACAAUAUCAUUUUUGUCUUUUUCUGGUCAUAGAGUAGCAAGCAACUUUAGAGUUUCCAAAACAUGCUUUCAUAUCAAACAUCGUGAAAGUAUAUAUCUUUUUUUAUAGGAAUGAUGAGAGCACAUAUGUAAGGACAACCAGUUCAUGUAACACAACUUCAGGAGACCUUUUUCUUUUUUUCUACAUUUCUAGAGCACUCAUGAGAUUUCUGGUAUGAUGGAUAUUUAAGAUAGAUCAUUGAUUGCUCUUUUUAAAAGAAUGACAUUUUUGUUUACAAAGCUUCAUAAGGUAUGUACAACUCUUAUUUCCUUUCGCUUUGCUAUCACUUAAACCGAUUUCACAAUAUAGAGAUAUGAGAAAAAUUAUAAUUUGGAUUGGGUGUUUGGCUUGUAGGGGCAUUUUCCUCUUCCAUAACAUACAAUAACUCCAAAAGUGCACUAGAAAACUUAAUAAAGUCACUUAAAAGGCCAUUGAAAACAAGUAUAAUUCAAAAGCCCAAAAUGCCCCUACAAGCCAAACAUCCAAUCUAAAUUUAAUUCAUCUCCUAUCUCUAUACUGUGAAAUCACCCUGCAUCAAGAAGUAUGUAGCUUGGUUCUAGGCUGUCAAUUUAGUAAUGCUGAAUUGGUACCCAAGAUGUGGAUGUACCGUGUAAUAAGUAAUCGAUGCAAAUAAUGGGUUGCCUACACUGAAGCACAGCUAGGUGAGGAGAAUCACCCUCCAUGAGCUUUUAUGUGCUUUAGGCCUUUUAAGUGCACCUUAAAUGAGCCUUUGACAACAUUGAUUUGAAUGAGACACUGUUUUGAUUAUCGAUGAGUCGAUGACUUUCAGCAUAUUUGGCAAGUUUAACUCUUUUGUUUCUCGGUGAGGCUUUCAGGCUUCAAAAGCAGUUAUUCCUUCCUAGAAAUAUUUUCUUUGUUCCCUUUCUUGGAGUCACAACUUGUCCACUUGCCUUAAAUGACUUCUUCUUUUUGAUGAGGUCACUUGCCUUACAUGACUAUUUUUUCCACUGACACUUCACUGUGAGUAAACAUUAUAUUGUAUCAAAAGUUACAUUGGUCAUGCCUUGUUCAUACAAAAUGUUGAGUCAAUUGAAAAGGGAAACAAUGAUCGAUGGGAACUUUUAAGAAGAAAGAUCUGAAUUUUCCCUUUUUAAUUGACUAAAAACACUCCACUCUUCCACACCUAGUGGAAAUAAAACAAUAAAAGUGUAGAUAAAACAAAAGGAGAACAUGCUCUACUACGAGCUACAUGAAAGUGAGAAAAAAAAAAGUCAAAACUUUUUAUCAAUCAGUUCAGUAAAGAUUUGCUAGCAACUUCAGUUCAUUUUUUGGCGAAAGAACAAGACAAGGAACUAUUAUUAAGUUAUCUAAAUGAUGAGCAGGAAUCCUAUGGAAUUGGAUACCAUCUUAAAAGUGACAACAUAAAUUUGAAAUCAAGGUAUGGCCUGAGAACAAUUCAAAACACAAGAAAAGCAUUCAAAAUGCAAAGAGAUGCCACGAUGCUGGAAAACAAACCAUAGGCUAUUAACCUACCUUUAUGGAGUGAUAGAAGGGAUUUCCCACAUCCAUUUGUAUAGCUAGAUGGUAAUCGCAUCUUAAUGUCUUUCCAGAGCUUCUUAUACUCCUCUUCAUUGUAGGGCGUCAUCAAUAAGUUCAAAACCUCCUUCCUGUACCUAGAAUCUAUGAUUGUCGCAUCCAGCUUGAUACACAAAAUUAGCAGCCAAUGGUUACAAGAAUUAUCAUGGUGAACCAAAACUAAGAGGUAACAUAAAAUAAAGGAGGGACCAAAAGAACUAGUGAAAGUAGCAGAAGAAUUGAAAUCAUACAUUCAGGCAAUGUUCCACUGAGGGUACAAAGGGGUUAGAGCUACUGCCCCUGCGUACCUCUGCACCUACAUUCUCAAGGAUUUCUACCUCACUUUGGGAUAUUGCCUCCUUAAGAGCUUCAUAAAAAAACAACUAUUACCAAAUGAAGAUUUGAGACAAUGAUAUCUUCACACAAUUUUUUUUGCAAGAAUCAAAUAACUUACAAUCAGAAUCUUCUUGAGGUUCAAUUUUUACUUCCACAUCCAUGAAUUUGCUAUCAUUCUGAAUCUUCUGCUCCUUACCAGGUAUAAUGUUCGCAUCAAUUAUGUGCUUCCAGUUAUCUAAAUCCCUAUCCUCGUUUCGUCGCUUCUUACUCAAAAUCCCUUCAUUCAUCUUCUGCUUCUUACCAUGUACAAUCAUCACAUCAAUUCUAUGAUUCCUGUUAUCUAAAUCCCUAUCCUCGUUUCCUUGCCUCUUACUCAAAAUGCCAUCUUUCAUCUGCUGCUCCUUACCAGGUCCAAUGUUCACAUCAAUUCGCUGCUUCCUGUUAUCUAAAUCCAUAUCCUCAUUCUGUCGCUUCUUACUCAAAAUCCCACCAUUCAUCUUCUGCUCCUUACCAGGUACAAUUUCCACAUCAAUUCUUUGCUUCCUAUUGUCUAAAUCCCUAUCCUCAUUUCCUCGCUUCUUACUUAAAAUCCCAUUUUCCAUCCUAUUCUUUCUCGCAUUAGUCUUUAGAGCUUUUGAACUCCUCCCCAAUUCGCAUUUUUCCCUAACAUUAUCCUGACCCUUUUCAACCCCAUGAAUCUCCAACUCCCUAUCUCUCUCAUACUUGAUGAACACUGUCAACCCAUUCUGAUCAUUAACUUUAGAAACAUAUGAUGUUCCAUCUAGCUUAGUGUUAGCCAAGAAAUUCAUAUAAAGCGGGUCAGCUUCAACAUCAAAAUAAGCAAGUCUAGGGUUAUCCCUAUCACCACCAUAGGCAACUCCACCCUUCUCUAUAAAUGACAACAAGCUUUUAUAAUCUUCAUCCACAUGAACACAUCUUUCCAAUGCACUACAAAGGUCAUGAUAUAUGUCUUUGUCUUGACAAGGACACAAUUUCUCCAUACCAACUUUCCCCAUAUAAUCACAAACUCAAAUUUCCACUAAACAACUAACCCAAACUACUACCCCCUACAGUCUCUAG